UUCACGUUAAUUACCUGCAGGAAGAGCUUCUCCAGUUAAAGCAGAGCUAUGAAGAGGAGGUGAAUGUGCAGCGUGCUCAACUGGGAAAACGAGUCAAUGUGGAAAUGGAUUCUACACCAUCUGUAGAUCUGAACAAAGUGUUGUCUCAGAUCAGAGAAGAAUAUGAAAACUUGAUGGAGAGGAACCUUAAGGAGAUCGAAACCAUAUUCCAUCAGAGGACUUCAGAGCUGGAUCGUGAUGUGAAUUCCAGGGUGGAACAGAUGCAGUCAGUUAGUAACGAGUACAUUGAUCUGAAGCUUUUAGGAC
Long non-coding RNA from Pelobates fuscus (common spadefoot toad), 306 nucleotides. RefSeq lists it as uncharacterized. The transcript has 3 exons. The record is from RefSeq and is a predicted model, not a curated record. Lineage: Eukaryota; Metazoa; Chordata; Amphibia; Anura; Pelobatidae.